This 135-nucleotide small nuclear RNA is filed under the name Vulpes vulpes (red fox). RNAcentral's name for it is "U4 spliceosomal RNA (ENSVVUG00000018483.1)". The stretch from base 1 to 72 matches the Rfam family "U4 spliceosomal RNA". Rfam says of the family: U4 small nuclear RNA (U4 snRNA) is a component of the major U2-dependent spliceosome. The structure of U4 snRNA from yeast and human has been reported. The record is from RNAcentral. Lineage: Eukaryota; Metazoa; Chordata; Mammalia; Carnivora; Canidae.
AGCUUUGCGCAGUGGCAGUAUCAUAGCCAAUGAAGUUUAUCCAAGGAACGAAUAUUGCUAAUUGAAACAAAUGGUAAAAAUGAUCUUGCUUUCUCUCCUACAGAACUUGGGUUUUCAUCUAGAGCUAAUAAUUGU